RNAcentral lists this ribosomal RNA (516 nucleotides) under uncultured bacterium. RNAcentral describes it as "bacterial SSU rRNA". It matches the Rfam family "Bacterial small subunit ribosomal RNA", at positions 8 to 518 of the family's 1533-position model. The record is from RNAcentral.
AGAGUUUGAUUAUGGCUCAGGACGAACGCUGGCGGCGUGCCUAACACAUGCAAGUCGAACGGGGUGAUUGUGGAAGUCCUCGGGGCGGAAGCUUCACUUAGUGGCGGACGGGUGAGUAACGCGUGAGCAACCUGCCUUUCAGAGGGGGACAACAGUUGGAAACGACUGCUAAUACCGCAUAACACACAGGGGGUCGCAUGGUCUCCGUGUCAAAAGAUUUUUAUCGCUGAAAGAUGGGCUCGCGUCUGAUUAGAUAGUUGGUGGGGUAACGGCCUACCAAGUCGACGAUCAGUAGCCGGACUGAGAGGUUGAACGGCCACAUUGGGACUGAGAUACGGCCCAGACUCCUACGGGAGGCAGCAGUGGGGAAUAUUGGGCAAAAGUGGGGGCAACCCUGACCCAGCAACGCCGCGUGAAGGAAGAAGGCUUUCGGGUUGUAAACUUCUUUUACCAGGGACGAAGGACGUGACGGUACCUGGAGAAAAAAGCCACGGCUAACUACGUGCCAGCCGCAGC